This 69-nucleotide transfer RNA is filed under the name Marmota monax (woodchuck). RNAcentral describes it as "tRNA.Val". It matches the Rfam family "tRNA". From Rfam's summary of the family: Transfer RNA (tRNA) molecules are approximately 80 nucleotides in length. Their secondary structure includes four short double-helical elements and three loops (D, anti-codon, and T loops). Lineage: Eukaryota; Metazoa; Chordata; Mammalia; Rodentia; Sciuridae. The record is from RNAcentral.
GCGGUUACUCAGUUGGUAGAGUGCUUGCCUCACAUGCUUAAGGCCCUGGGUUCAAUCCCCAGCACCACA